This is a non-coding RNA of Oryza sativa Japonica Group (Japanese rice), 1161 nucleotides long. The record is from RefSeq and is a predicted model, not a curated record. NCBI's taxonomy places the organism in Eukaryota, Viridiplantae, Streptophyta, Magnoliopsida, Poales, Poaceae.
CUAGCCCUAGGCCGAGCUUAGUUUCUGGUUGCAAACCGUACGGAAUCCCCUUUCCUCCCUCUCUUGCCACGAACCCUUCGCCGUCGCCGGCGAUCCCACCGACUCCCGGCCGCCUCUGCUUCCCCGGCGAUGUCUCUUCUUAGCACUGCGCCGUCAACGCGCGUUGCCCGGUCUAUGCGUCGCCUUCAGUUCUCCCUGCGUCCUUGUGAGACCCGAGCCGCAAAUCCAGGCCCCAAGCGAGAUGCCAUGCCGAGCCGCAGGAUUGACAGAACUCGGGGAGAUCUCCUGAUCCGGUGGUUGUUCAGUUCGCUGCCCCCUCCUUGCAUUGAUAAAGGAUUUUCUUGCAAGCCACUAGCUACGGACCCAUGAAUUACUGAAAUAGUGCAGCCAGGAGUACUCUGCACACCAUGGUUUGAUGGAGAUAUAUCAUAGCAACAACUGAACACGAAUGCCAGAUAAGGAUGUUAGAGCGAGUUGAGGUUGAUUGCGGGUUAACUUAUCAAGGGUUCCACAUAUCAACUCUUGUAUCUACUGAUCAUUCAUUGAAGCAACCACAGAUCUAGCUGCAGCUCCUGUUGUAUCAGUUAACAAAAGCAAUACUCAGGAUUGGUUGUCAACUGGCUCUCCUGCAGUUCCAGGAUGAACCAGGACAGUAUCGAAAAUGCAGCCACAAAAUCUGACAAGUCAGUAAUGCCAGAAGGGAAUGUGAUUCCUAUGGACUCAGCGACUGAAGUAUAAUAUGGUCUGACGUGUUUACUUCUAUGGCCUCAUGAGUCACUUGAUACUGUUGAGUAGGCUGGACCGGGUAUUGGAAUGGAGCCUCUGGAGACGAUCCUGCAGUCCAAGGGAAGCACAUACAUGCAUAGCCGAGCAUCCACCAAAUAUGAGAAGUGACUUGCCUCACUGGGGCAGGAGAUUGGGCCGGUGAUAUAAUCGGCGUUGUUCAUGAAAGCGUAGCCAUCGACUGGAGAAGUACCAUUUGGUGUGAACUCUUUUGAACAGCGUACUAUUUUUGCAGGAGCCCAGCUGUAUAAUUUACAUCUAUGGUAGUCGUAAGGCUGUAGAUUGUCAAAGAUGAGCUUCUGAAGCGGGCAUGGAGACGAGGAGUACACAAGCGGGAUGAUGCUCAUGAUGGCCUCCUUGUAAUCUAUGGAGGUGACC